AGUAUUUCAAUAAUUUGCUUUAAUAUUUGUAUUGUUCUACAGUUUGUUUAAUGAAUUAAUGAUUUCUUCUUAACAAAAUAACAGUUGUUUUAAUAUCGUUAGUGUUAUAUAAUUUGUGGAGUUGUUCUCAAUAUAGUCUUGAAAUAUUAAAUAAAUUAGGAGAAGGCACGUCAACAAUUGGAAACUUUUUCAGAAGUAUAAAU
This is a long non-coding RNA of Centruroides sculpturatus (bark scorpion), 203 nucleotides long. RefSeq lists it as uncharacterized. The transcript is spliced from 2 exons. Lineage: Eukaryota; Metazoa; Arthropoda; Arachnida; Scorpiones; Buthidae. The record is from RefSeq and is a predicted model, not a curated record.